GAAUAUUGGACAAUGGGGGAACCCUGAUCCAGCCAUGCCGCGGGUGUGAAGAAGGCCUUUUGGUUGUAAAGCACUUUAAGCGAGGAGGGAGCUACUCUAGUUAAUACCUAGGGAUAGUGGCCGUUACUCGCAGAAUAAGCACCGGCCAACUCUGUGCCCGCCGCCCCGGUAAUACAGAGGGUGCAAGCGUUAAUCGGAUUUACUGGGCGUAAAGCGCGCGUAGGUGGCCAAUUAAGUCAAAUGUGAAAUCCCCGAGCUUAACUUGGGAAUUGCAUUCGAUACUGGUUGGCUAGAGUAUGGGAGAGGAUGGUAGAAUUCCAGGUGUAGCGGUGAAAUGCGUAGAGAUCUGGAGGAAUACCGAUGGCGAAGGCAGCCAUCUGGCCUAAUACUGACGCUGAGGCACGAAAGCAUGGGGAGCAAACA
Molecule: ribosomal RNA, 423 nt
Filed under: uncultured bacterium
Lineage: Bacteria
Description: partial 16S ribosomal RNA
Rfam family: Bacterial small subunit ribosomal RNA
Source: RNAcentral